CCUAUUUGUCUUACCUAAUUCUUUUUAAAAAAAUAAUUAUCACCAGACGGUAAAUAUUUCUUGAGCUGAUUCUCAAUUGCACUGAAUAAGAAUGUCUGGCCCAGCAGUUUGAAAUUUCAUCAAGCAUCUUAUUAAAUACAACCAUAACUGACAUUCCAAUCACUAUUGUUAGCCUGAUGAAAUCAAAGCUAAUAUUUUCUGGUUUCCCCAGAACUCUGUCAUUAUCUGGCAUUUCAAGCAGCCGAAAGCUCUGCUUUUAUAAUGUGUUUAAUGAUUGCGCUCGAGGGAAGAGGGAGAGUCUUCAGGUAAAGGUGGCACUGCUAUUAGGUGCUAGAUGAAGGGGCUGAGAACCUCAUGAAUUCUGCAAUAGAAAGCUGCUGGCAUAUUCGUGUCUACAGAGUCCCCGCUGUCUUUGUGUUUGGAAUUUAAAACUAUUCCCCAGAUAUCAUCAUCAUCAUCAUCACCAUCAUCAUCAUCAUCGUCGUCGUCAUUUUGAGGCCAAAUCAAAACAAAAGAAACCUGAAUGAGGAUAGACUCCGUCACUGAGGAGCUCUGCUUUGUUGCUGGGAGGUGGCUUCAUGACCGGCAGCUGUUUCCUGGUUAGGUGACAAAAACCCUUCGACCUGUCAGCAACUGGGAGAAGAUGAGAAACGGCCUCAUUACAGGGCCAGAUAAGGAAGUGUUAUGGUUUCUAUCUGUAAGGUCCCUCAAAGCUCAAGUGCUAAAGGAGCUUUGGAGGAAGUGACUGGCUCGUGAGAGUUCUGACUUCAUCAGUGGAUUAACGCAUUAAUAGCAGAAUGCACCACUGGGAGGUGGUGGAAACUGUAGGCAGGAAGGGCAUGGUUGGAGGACUAGGUCACCAGGAGCAUAGCCUUUCGGGCUAUAUUUUGUCCCUGUCCCUUUUCUCUCUGUCUCUGUUUCCCAAAUGCCUCUGCUAUUGCCAUAGUCUUCUGCCAUAAAUCUUCUUAUUGGAUUUUCUUUUUUUUUUUUUCAGAAUCUCUAUAUCUUCCUUGAAGUGAUCUAUUGCUACCUGUACUUGCUCCCUUAUCUCUUUGUUGGUGUGAUCAAUGGUUGCCUGUUUUUGCUCUCUUAUCUCUUUGUUGGAGGGAUUCCUUUCUGCCUGUGUGUGCUCUCUGAUGUCAUUCUUUAAUUCGGAGAUCAUUUUAAUUAUGUACGUUCUGAACUCCUUCUCUGGCAUUUCAUCAACUCACUGGGUUCUAUUACUGUCGUGUCUCGGUUUGUUUGGGGGAACUUUCUUCCCUUGUUUCUUCAUGUUGUUCAUGUGUCUCCCUUUCUUGCAGGGCGGAUCUGAGGUAUGACCGUUUUUACCCUAUAAUCUGUAGUGUCCCUGCAGAUUACCUGUACCUCACUAUGGUGCUGGGGUUCUAUCCCCCAGCUGGUGUCCCAAGAUGGACGCUACUGCACAACUAAAAAUGGUGGCGGCAAUAGCAGAAGUACCUCAAGAUAGCAGUGGGGUGUCCCAAGAUGGCUGCAACCACUUUCAGAGAUGGGGCUGAAAGGGUGGGCCAGAAAAUGGCUUUGGGCUGCCUGUUUGGAGAAGCAGCUGCCUCCACGCUCUGUCUGUUGUCCCAAGGUGGAGGCUACUACGUGGGAAGGGCUAUGUCGGAAGGGCUAUGUUGAUGGCUUCUGUUUCCCAAGGUGGAGGCAGGCUGGGGGAGCAACAUGUUGGUAAAGGGGAGCCCCAGUGUGGUCCUCCACUCUAUGCAGGAGCAGUUCUGGACCUGAGCUCUCACACAGGACAGUGGGGGCCGUCGUGGACCUGACCUGGGCCUGGACUCUGCUUUUCUGCCAUGAUCUUCUCUAUCACCUUAGGUGCAAAGCAAUGGUGCCAGUUGACCUCCAACUAAAACCUCUGAUUCCAUGAGCCAAAAUCCACCUUUCCUCCUCUGAGUUGUUCUUGUUAGGUAUUUUGGCCACAGGGAUGAAAAGCUGACUGACAAAAGAAACGAGGGAGGAACGUCCCUGAAGAAUCUUCUCCAAAGUCUCAUGCAUGCAUGUUCCAGAAGGAUUCAAGAUAUUCCACCAAGACAGGAAACACCAGCCAAGGCGCCGACACCCAAGAGAGAGGGGAAUCCGGGGAGUCCUCUCUGAAGUCAGUAUUCGUCAUGAAAGGGGUACUCAGGGUGAUCACACCACCUGCCAAAACAGUUUUACCAGAGGAAAACGGUUCACUCAGCUGCGAGAAUCUCAUGACCUCCCCCACCUCCUGCACUGGCCUGUUUCUCUUCCCCCAGUUCCCCUCUGGCCAGCACCUUUACUGGGGGCUCUGGCAGCACCCUGGAUGUGAGAGUAGGAGGCAGGGGAGAGGGACAGGGUGUGGAAGGACUGGCUGCCACCACAUUGGCCUUCCGCUAUGAACCAAAGCACAGCGCCGAGUUGGCAUGUGAAGUAUUAUUAUUACCUGCCCAGGUGCUAGGGUUUAGAUGUGCCGUCCCCCAAAAGCUCAUGUGUGAGGCAAUGCAAGAAAGUUCAGAGGAGAACUGAUUGGGUUGUGAGAGUCUUUACCCUGUCAGAGAAUUAAUCCCCUGACAGGGAUUAACUGAGUGGCAUCUGAAGUAGUAGGAUGUGGCUGGAGGAGGUGGGAACUGGGACGUGGCUUUGGGGGGUAUAUUUGCAUCUGGAUAGUAAAGUCUCUCUGCUUCUUGAUCACCAGGUGAGCUGCUUCCCUCUGCCAUACUCUUCCUCCAUGAUGGAGCUGGCUGUAUAUGGACUGAGACCUCUGAAACUAUGAGCCCUUGAAUAAAUUUUUCCUCCUCUACAAUUGUUCUGGUUGUGUCUAAGUCACAGCAGCAAGAAAGCGUAUUAAAACACCACUUUUGCAUGUGAAGUCUUAUUUUGUGCUGAUGGUGAUGCUCUUAUCUCUUAAAUAACAACAGUGAAAGAGUCUAUAGAAAUGUGGAGUAUGUGUGUGUCCUUGUCAUUGAACAGCCAAGAUCCAGUUCUCCGCAAGUACCACGAACACUAAAAGGUAUUUUCUAAAAAGGCUCUCAAAUGUCAAUGAUCAACUGAAUGCAAACCAGAAAAGAUGCAUGGCCCAGCACUCUUAAAUAAUACUUUUUUGAUUAAUGGAGGCUAGUCUUUGUUUUAGCUUAUUUAUUUCUCCAGUUGGAUGAGUUAUUUUGCCCUCAAUAUUGUUAAAACUCAUAUUCAAUGUAUCAAAUGUUAAAUAAUGUCACCACCUGCCUGUU
Molecule: non-coding RNA, 3209 nt
Organism: Ictidomys tridecemlineatus (thirteen-lined ground squirrel)
Lineage: Eukaryota; Metazoa; Chordata; Mammalia; Rodentia; Sciuridae
Source: RefSeq, a predicted model, not a curated record